UCUAAUAUGGCAGAUUAGUGCAUUGGAUUUAAACCCCAAACAUAUAGCUUAGCCUUUUUUUAGAA
This 65-nucleotide transfer RNA is filed under the name Theopea aeneipennis. RNAcentral describes it as "tRNA-Leu". Lineage: Eukaryota; Metazoa; Arthropoda; Insecta; Coleoptera; Chrysomelidae. The record is from RNAcentral.